UAAGGAAUAUUGCUCAAUGGGAGAAAUCCUGAAGCAGCAACGCCGCGUGGAGGAUGAAGGGUCUAUGACUUGUAAACUCCUGUAAAGAAGGAAAAAAUUCCCAUUUGAUGGGAGAUGAUGGUACUUCUGGAGUAAGCCCCGGCUAACUACGUGCCAGCAGCCGCGGUGAUACGUAGGGGGCAAGCGUUGUCCGGAUUUACUGGGUGUAAAGGGUGCUCAGGCGGAUUUGUAAGUCAGAGGUGAAAUCUUACAGCUUAACUGUGAAACUGCCUUUGAUACUGCAAGCCUAGAGUAUGGAAGAGAGUGAUGGAAUAUCUGGUGUAGCAGUGAAAUGCGUAGAUAUCAGAUAGAACACCAAUGGCGAAGGCAGUCACUUGGUCCAUUACUGACGCUAAAGCACGAAAGCGUGGGUA
RNAcentral lists this ribosomal RNA (413 nucleotides) under uncultured bacterium. RNAcentral's name for it is "bacterial SSU rRNA". It matches the Rfam family "Bacterial small subunit ribosomal RNA", at positions 355 to 767 of the family's 1533-position model. The record is from RNAcentral.